Long non-coding RNA from Liolophura sinensis, 645 nucleotides. RefSeq lists it as uncharacterized. The record is from RefSeq and is a predicted model, not a curated record. The transcript is spliced from 3 exons. Lineage: Eukaryota; Metazoa; Mollusca; Polyplacophora; Chitonida; Chitonidae.
UGUAAGGCCACCGUGUCUUUAAACCCUGAUCAGUCAUUCAUUUAUUCAAUGCCGAUUUUCCUUUUGUUCACAUCUUGUAUUUAGAGAGUUAUAGUGAAGAAAAGAUUAAUACCGCCUGGAGGGGAACAGUAUUCAAAAAGGAAUGCGAACGUGACCCUGGUAUUGUGCAACAUAAAACACGAUUUGAAUCCGGCUUCACAUCGAGACUCUUCUCUCCCUAUAUUAACAUUUGUCAAAGAUUUCUCAGCGCUCAUACGUCUCCCAUGUUUGUCAGAGAUUUCUCAGCCCUCACAUAACGUCUCCGAUAUCUGCCAGAGAUUUCUCAGCGCUCACAAAACGUUUCCCACAUUUGUCAACAAUUUGCCAACGAACAAGCAAACGAUCUCUCAGAUUACCAUCAUGGUGGGUGAUAAAUGUGUGGGGGUCAGCCUGAUAAUACUCGCCCUAGCCUUCCCCAGCCUGGAUGCAGCUGUUUGCAACUUGAGGGGUUUAAACUCGGCCUGUUGCGGCACCAGGGCGUAUAACCCUCGCACCGACAUUUGCUGCAGUGGCGUUCUACAGAGGAAGGGUUUAAACUCGGCGUGCUGUGGCACCAGGGCGUAUAACUCCCGUACCGACAUUUGCUGUAGUGGCGUUCUACAGAGA